UCUAAUAAGGGAGAUGGAACAAUCAGGAAUUAAAGAAUUAAAGUACACUAGCCGGCGAUGAAGUAUGAAUGCUUUUCUUAUUUUCUUCCAUGAGAAGAUGAUCAUCUUCAUUCGAUUGCAUGGAGGAUUCAGUUCUGAUACAAUUUCCCAUAAUUUCUUGGUGUGCGUACUUCUUUGUACUUGAUUUUUCUUUUCACUUUGUAAGCAGAAUAUAUGAAAU
Molecule: long non-coding RNA, 220 nt
Filed under: Nicotiana benthamiana
Lineage: Eukaryota; Viridiplantae; Streptophyta; Magnoliopsida; Solanales; Solanaceae
Description: long non-coding RNA (NBEN_LNC034854)
Source: RNAcentral